RNAcentral lists this long non-coding RNA (348 nucleotides) under Salmo salar (Atlantic salmon). RNAcentral's name for it is "lncRNA (ENSSSAG00000097903.1, ENSSSAG00020084115.1)". The record is from RNAcentral. Lineage: Eukaryota; Metazoa; Chordata; Actinopteri; Salmoniformes; Salmonidae.
ACCACACCUCCUCGUGCCUUAUUGCUUAAGUAUAUACGAAUAUUUACCAAGAAGUUAGUUUUCGAAUCAACUGCUUUGAAUCAUUCAAAUAUCUUGGCGCUUAGCAAGUAAGUCAAUCAGAUGCCAGCUGAGCGUGAAAGUUCAGUUGCCUUGGCUGUUCAUGAGGUACCAGAGAACCUGUUUAAUCUCAUAGAAGAGGGAAAGGACCUGAACAUGAGUGCAGCUUGUCACGAUUUGGCUAACCAACAUUACUUCAACCACAUGGCUGGGUCAAGCUACCAAAUGACUAAAGUGCCACUGAAGAAUGGGUUGGAACUGUAAGCUGUCUGCCGCCUAAUCUCACUCCAG